Molecule: long non-coding RNA, 729 nt
Organism: Carassius gibelio (silver crucian carp)
Lineage: Eukaryota; Metazoa; Chordata; Actinopteri; Cypriniformes; Cyprinidae
Exons: 2
Source: RefSeq, a predicted model, not a curated record
CACACACACACACACACACACACACACACUCACACACACACACACACACACACACACACACACACGCACACACACACACGCACACACACACACACACACAAACACACACACACACACACACACAGUGAAGUUGUGUAAUACAAAUGUAUUUAUUUAUUUUAUAAGUUAAUUAAUAUUUAGCACACAAUUUAAACAUUUAUUUAUUAUUAGUUUAAACAUUAUUGGUGAUGACUGGAGAUAAUUUGUGUAUGCUGAACUAAUUGUCAUAGAAGUUGUUGUUGAAAGCCAGGAAGAGCGUCUUCAUCCGGAUGACAUCAUCUGUCAGAAAAAGCCGAACUCCACUCACGAUAAAUCUCUAUCAGGUGCGCUUUUAAUCAGAGCCUAUUAAACACCAAACACCAGCAGAAACAAAGGAGUGAGAGCUUGUUCUGCAGUUUAUCCACCAUUUUUCCCUUUGAGGAAAACUUUGUGACUGCAAAAACUUUUGAGGUGUAAGUAAAGGAGUACAACAGGAAUAGGAUGCGAAUCAGUGAUUAAUCAACCCCAGACGCUGCUGGUUAUCAACCUAAUUUGAACUUGAGCUUUCUACUUAAGGAAUGACCGUUUCAAGACUAAUCUAACUGCAAACAAAAUUCAUCUGUUCCAAUCUAUCAUGAUAUGAAUGAAAUCAACAGAUUGCAAAUCUAGAUUGUAAUAACUUUAUUGAAAGUAAAAGCCAUUUUGAGAUGA